This 635-nucleotide long non-coding RNA is filed under the name Zonotrichia albicollis (white-throated sparrow). Its description in RNAcentral is "lncRNA (ENSZALG00000010899.1)". Lineage: Eukaryota; Metazoa; Chordata; Aves; Passeriformes; Passerellidae. The record is from RNAcentral.
AUAUUUAUUUAGAGAGUAAAGGUUUUUUGAAAGUUUUUUUUUGAAAUUAUUGUUCUCUUUCCCUCAGCCUUAAACAUCCAAAUCCAUCACAUCCUGGUGAAGGACGAGAAAUAAGAGCUCAAUUCAAAACAGAACAGGUGUGAAAAGAAUGGGAAGAACCAGGAUGUGAGAGCUCUCCGUCAUACUUCUUUCAAGGUCUUCAGGGCUUCAGCUGCCCCAGAAAGAGGAACAAAAAAGCACACUGAAAACAUUGAAAGAGAGGACUGGAGGAGAAAGAUGAAAGGAGAUGAGUAGGUGUGGGAAAAAGAGACAGAACAAGCACAGCUGUAGAGUCAGAACAGACUACAUAUUUAUUUUCUUUAAAAAGGCAUGUAAAGCUCCUCUGGGAAAGCACUGUCCACUGCCCAAGACAGCAUGCUAGAGUAGAUGGAGUGACAGCCUAAUGCAUUUAAACAACAUCUAGGUAAGAACUGAAUCCAAAGUAGAAUUUAGAAAGCAGCCCUAAAGGCACACUCACUGUUUUUUUCUCUGUUAAAAUCCAGGAAAAGAAAACCUGCUUUUGGUUAAUUCUCAGUGUUCAGAGUUUUGCACUGUAGGAGAAAUAAAUGGCUGGUAACCAAAGCUGGUAUAUGCCA